AGUGAACGCUGGCGGUAGGCCUAACACAUGCAAGUCGAACGGCAGCGCAGUAAGAGCUUGCUCUUACGGGUGGCGAGUGGCGGACGGGUGAGGAAUACAUCGGAAUCUACUUUUUCGUGGGGGAUAACGUAGGGAAACUUACGCUAAUACCGCAUACGACCUACGGGUGAAAGCAGGGGAUCUUCGGACCUUGCGCGAUUGAAUGAGCCGAUGUCGGAUUAGCUAGUUGGCGGGGUAAAGGCCCACCAAGGCGACGAUCCGUAGCUGGUCUGAGAGGAUGAUCAGCCACACUGGAACUGAGACACGGUCCAGACUCCUACGGGAGGCAGCAGUGGGGAAUAUUGGACAAUGGGCACAAGCCUGAUCCAGCCAUACCGCGUGGGUGAAGAAGGCCUUCGGGUUGUAAAGCCCUUUUGUUGGGAAAGAAAAGCAGCAGGUUAAUACCCCGCUGUUCUGACGGUACCCAAAGAAUAAGCACCGGCUAACUUCGUG
This 492-nucleotide ribosomal RNA is filed under the name uncultured bacterium. Its description in RNAcentral is "partial 16S ribosomal RNA". It matches the Rfam family "Bacterial small subunit ribosomal RNA", at positions 29 to 507 of the family's 1533-position model. The record is from RNAcentral.